This 769-nucleotide ribosomal RNA is filed under the name uncultured bacterium. RNAcentral's name for it is "bacterial SSU rRNA". It matches the Rfam family "Bacterial small subunit ribosomal RNA", at positions 54 to 837 of the family's 1533-position model. The record is from RNAcentral.
CAUGCAAGUCGAACGGAGCUUAGAGAGCUUGCUUUUUAAGCUUAGUGGCGAACGGGUGAGUAACGCGUGAGUAACCUGCCCUAGAGUGGGGGACAACAGUUGGAAACGACUGCUAAUACCGCAUAAGCCCACGGUACCGCAUGGCACUGAGGGAAAAGGAUUUAUUCGCUUUAGGAUGGACUCGCGUCCAAUUAGCUAGUUGGUGAGGUAACGGCCCACCAAGGCGACGAUUGGUAGCCGGACUGAGAGGUUGAACGGCCACAUUGGGACUGAGACACGGCCCAGACUCCUACGGGAGGCAGCAGUGGGGGAUAUUGCACAAUGGGGGAAACCCUGAUGCAGCGACGCCGCGUGGAGGAAGAAGGUUUUCGGAUUGUAAACUCCUGUCGUUAGGGACGAUAAUGACGGUACCUAACAAGAAAGCACCGGCUAACUACGUGCCAGCAGCCGCGGUAAAACGUAGGGUGCAAGCGUUGUCCGGAAUUACUGGGUGUAAAGGGAGCGCAGGCGGGAAGACAAGUUGGAAGUGAAAACCAUGGGCUCAACCCAUGAAUUGCUUUCAAAACUGUUUUUCUUGAGUAGUGCAGAGGUAGAUGGAAUUCCCGGUGUAGCGGUGGAAUGCGUAGAUAUCGGGAGGAACACCAGUGGCGAAGGCGGUCUACUGGGCACCAACUGACGCUGAAGCUCGAAAGCAUGGGUAGCAAACAGGAUUAGAUACCCUGGUAGUCCAUGCCGUAAACGAUGAUUACUAGGUGUUGGGGGAUUGACC